This 253-nucleotide ribosomal RNA is filed under the name uncultured bacterium. RNAcentral describes it as "partial 16S ribosomal RNA". It matches the Rfam family "Bacterial small subunit ribosomal RNA", at positions 524 to 776 of the family's 1533-position model. The record is from RNAcentral.
UACGUAGGGACCGAGCGUUGUCCGGAUUCAUUGGGCGUAAAGAGCUCGUAGGCGGCUGUUCAAGUCGAACGUGAAAACUCGGAGCUCAACUCCGAGCCUGCGUUCGAGACUGGAUGGCUAGAGUCUGGUAGGGGGAUCUGGAAUUCCUGGUGUAGCGGUGAAAUGCGCAGAUAUCAGGAGGAACACCGGUGGCGAAGGCGGGUCUCUGGGCCGAUACUGACGCUGAGGAGCGAAAGCGUGGGGAGCAAACAGG